This 76-nucleotide transfer RNA is filed under the name Nitrospira sp. RNAcentral describes it as "tRNA-Lys". It matches the Rfam family "tRNA". Rfam says of the family: Transfer RNA (tRNA) molecules are approximately 80 nucleotides in length. Their secondary structure includes four short double-helical elements and three loops (D, anti-codon, and T loops). Further hydrogen bonds mediate the characteristic L-shaped molecular structure. tRNAs have two regions of fundamental functional importance: the anti-codon, which is responsible for specific mRNA codon recognition, and the 3' end, to which the tRNAs corresponding amino acid is attached (by aminoacyl-tRNA synthetases). tRNAs cope with the degeneracy of the genetic code in two manners: having more than one tRNA (with a specific anti-codon) for a particular amino acid; and 'wobble' base-pairing, i.e. permitting non-standard base-pairing at the 3rd anti-codon position. The record is from RNAcentral. RNAcentral also lists the same sequence under 4 other names. Lineage: Bacteria; Pseudomonadati; Nitrospirota; Nitrospiria; Nitrospirales; Nitrospiraceae.
GGGUUGGUAGCUCAGUCGGUAGAGCACUGGACUUUUAAUCCAUUGGUCGUGGGUUCGAAUCCCACCCAACCCACCA